AACCUCCGCAAUGUGAGAAAUCGCGACGGGGGGAUCCCAAGUGCCAUUCUUAACGGGAUGGCUUUUCAUUAGUGUAAAGAGCUUUUGGAAUAAGGGCUGGGCAAGACCGGUGCCAGCCGCCGCGGUAACACCGGCAGCUCUAGUGGUAGCAGUUUUUAUUGGACCUAAAGCGUCCGUAGCCGGUUUAAUAAGUCUCUGGUGAAAUCCUGUAGCUUAACUGUGGGAAUUGCUGGAGAUACUAUUAGACUUGAGACCGGGAGAGGUUAGAGGUACUCCCAGGGUAGAGGUGAAAUUCUGUAAUCCUGGGAGGACCGCCUGUUGCGAAGGCGUCUAACUGGAACGGUUCUGACGGUGAGGGACGAAAGUUAGGGGCGCGAACCGGAUUAGAUACCCGGGUAGUCCUAACUGUAAACGAUGCGGACUUGGUGUUGGGGUGGCUUUGAGCUGCUCCAGUGCCGAAGGGAAGCUGUUAAGUCCGCCGCCUGGGAAGUACGGUCGCAAGACUGAAACUUAAAGGAAUG
RNAcentral lists this ribosomal RNA (521 nucleotides) under uncultured bacterium. Its description in RNAcentral is "bacterial SSU rRNA". It matches the Rfam family "Archaeal small subunit ribosomal RNA", at positions 345 to 866 of the family's 1478-position model. The record is from RNAcentral.